AGAGUUUGAUCCUGGCUCAGAACGAACGCUGGCGGCGUGCCUAACACAUGCAAGUCGAGCGAGAAAGCCCGCAAGGGUGAGUAAAGCGGCGCACGGGUGCGUAACACGUGGGUAAUCUGCCCUAGAGUCCGGAAUAACUCGCCGAAAGGCGUGCUAAUGCCGGAUGAGACCACGGGAGCUUCGGCUCCUGCGGGAAAAGGUGGCCUCUGUACACAAGCUAUCGCUCUAGGAUGAGCCCGCGGCCCAUCAGCUCGUUGGCGGGGUAAUGGCCCACCAAGGCAACGACGGGUAGCUGGUCUGAGAGGACGAUCAGCCACACUGGAACUGAGACACGGUCCAGACUCCUACGGGAGGCAGCAGUGGGGAAUCUUGCGCAAUGGGCGAAAGCCUGACGCAGCAACGCCGCGUGUGUGAUGAAGGUCUUCGGAUCGUAAAGCACUGUCGCGAGGGACGAAUAAGGGACGGGCGAACAGUCCGUCACGAUGACGGUACCUCGAGAGGAAGCACCGGCUAACUCUGUGCCAGCAGCCGCGGUAAUACAGAGGGUGCGAGCGUUGUUCGGAAUUAUUGGGCGUAAAGCGCGUGUAGGCGGCCUAGCAAGUCGGAUGUGAAAGCCCUCGGCUUAACCGAGGAAGUGCGUUCGAAACUACUGGGCUUGAGUACCGGAGAGGGUGGCGGAAUUCCCGGUGUAGAGGUGAAAUUCGUAGAUAUCGGGAGGAACACCAGUGGCGAAGGCGGUCACCUGGACGGAUACUGACGCUGAGACGCGAAAGCGUGGGUAGCAAACAGGAUUAGAUACCCUGGUAGUCCACGCUGUAAACGAUGAGCGCUAGGUGUUGCGGGUGUUGACCCCUGCAGUGCCGCAGCUAACGCAUUAAGCGCUCCGCCUGGGAAGUACGGCCGCAAGGCUAAAACUCAAAGGAAUUGAACGG
RNAcentral lists this ribosomal RNA (932 nucleotides) under uncultured Myxococcales bacterium. RNAcentral describes it as "bacterial SSU rRNA". It matches the Rfam family "Bacterial small subunit ribosomal RNA", at positions 8 to 917 of the family's 1533-position model. Lineage: Bacteria; Pseudomonadati; Myxococcota; Myxococcia; Myxococcales. The record is from RNAcentral.